GCCGCCGUGGCUUAGCUUGGCAGAGCGACUGAUUCGUAAUCAGUAGGUCGUGGGUUCAAUUCCCACCGGCGGCU
Molecule: transfer RNA, 74 nt
Filed under: Methanosarcinaceae archaeon
Lineage: Archaea; Methanobacteriati; Methanobacteriota; Methanomicrobia; Methanosarcinales; Methanosarcinaceae
Also listed under: 3 other names
Description: tRNA-Thr
Rfam family: tRNA
About the family: Transfer RNA (tRNA) molecules are approximately 80 nucleotides in length.
Source: RNAcentral